UACGUAGGGUGCGAGCGUUGUCCGGAAUUAUUGGGCGUAAAGAGCUCGUAGGCGGUCUGUCGCGUCGAUCGUGAAAACUUGGGGCUUAACCCUGAGCUUGCGGUCGAUACGGGCAUGACUGGAGUUCGGCAGGGGAGACUGGAAUUCCUGGUGUAGCGGUGAAAUGCGCAGAUAUCAGGAGGAACACCGGUGGCGAAGGCGGGUCUCUGGGCCGGCACUGACGCUGAGGAGCGAAAGCGUGGGGAGCGAACAGG
Molecule: ribosomal RNA, 254 nt
Filed under: uncultured bacterium
Lineage: Bacteria
Description: partial 16S ribosomal RNA
Rfam family: Bacterial small subunit ribosomal RNA
Source: RNAcentral